GCGGCGGGUUCCGGGCGGGGCCGCGCGGCCCGUCGCCGUCUCUCGGGCGCUGCUGCCGCCGCCGCUCCCCGUCCGGUGCGCCGAGCCGUCCUUCCGCGGCGUCCAGUUUCGUCCUCAGCUCCGCGACCUGGGGAGGCGUUCACAGACGGUCGCCGCCGAGCCCGCGCUCGCGGCGACGGACACGCCCCGUCCCCAACAGGCGGGAUUCGGCGCCUGAGGGAGACGGUCCGCGGCGCGGCCUCGCCCUGUCCCCGCACGGCCUCGCGCUUCCCGCCUCCCCGGCUCAGCCCGCGGGGUCGACCGCCGGGGCCGCGUCCCCAGGUUGGUCACGCUGCUCUCGGCGCUCGAGGCGGCCUGGCACGGUCUGGGAAAGGCAGCGGGCGUCGCGGCCGGCGGAACAUGCCCGCACGGAGAGAGACGGGCACGGCCUUUAAUCCGACGCCCCGCGGGACGGAGCGACGGGUCCGGAGCCCCCCAGACGGCGCCGCCCCCGGGACGCGCGCGAACUCCCGCCCCGCGGACGCCGCACCUUUCAAUUGAGCACUCGCGGGCAUCGUGCUGGGAAAUAAAGGGACAAAUGCUGCUCUUCCUCACGUGUGGUCGAGUUUCCUUUAUAUAGGGGAACUCGCUUUCCCUUUUGGAGGACAGAAUGAUUGUAAGUUAUAAAUUGCCUUUGACCUAUGAAAGGAGAUUUUGUCCAAAAAGUUCCUUCCUCACCAGAGCAAAAGCUCCUUGACGGCAAAUGUGCUUUAGAGGGAAGAGGGGGGGCCCCGUUUGUCCUCCCACUUUGGCUGUCGCCACCGUUUGUUUCCAUGGAGACCAGCUUUUGCUCUCUAAUUGAUUGAUUAGAGCUAGACUUGCCUAGAACCGUGUGAACUUUAAACGUCUCUCGCUGCACCUGUAACUUGGGCGCUGAUGGCUGCAGAUAUCGACAGCACAGCUGAGGCCGGACUCUCGAUGGACCGUGAUAAAUGGGCGAUAAAUGGGCGUAAAAAUCCCGAGAUGCUGCUGGGGGCUAUUUUUAGCACAUUUCUGUAGCCCCCUCAAGAUAAUUCGCUGAUGCUGAUCGUUAAUCUUCAAUACCUACCGAGAGGCCAACAACGUACUCAGCACCCCUCCCUCGCUUUUCAGCCAUCAGCUCCUGCUGGUGAGUCCUCAGGCUCUUGGCUCCACCAGGGCGAUUGGUUUCAAGAAAAGACCAAACAGAGGCGCUUACCUUUCUUUCAUACAACUUUUUCAUACUUCUAAAUUGCUGAUCCCAUUGCUGGUUAACUUCCAGGAGCUGAAAUGAUUAAAAUUUGAUGAAUCAAAAAAAGAAUGCCCGCCCAUCUGGAAAUUUGGCUACAAUGAAAUCACUUUGUGACCUUACUGAGAUUUUUUUGGAAACCAUGAGUGAGGAUGAGAUUCCUUCCAUCAAGUUCUGAUUGGGCGAGGAUAAUUUAAUUGGACACACUCUCACUCUCGUUAGAAUCAUCUUUUAGGAAUUGAUCCAUGUAUGAACAACUAUUAAGUCUUAGAUGUAUCCUGACAAGUCAGUUGAACAGUUUAUCAGCAACUAUUAACUUUUCUUAGGUAUUUGAAUUUUCGUCUUCUUUGUUUAAUCCAAUCAGAAUCUGGUAAAAAUCUAUAAGAAAUGAUAGCUUUCUGUAAGAUUUAUUAAUGUAUGAAGGGUCUUCCUCCAAACCUUUCCAUAUUGGUCUAUGUGUUUACACUGAUCAUUGUAAUGAAAUAUUUUCUCCAGUUCUUUUAAAGCAAAAUUUAUAUUAACAAAUCCUAGACUCCAUUAACUGAUAAUCAUUGGCUUGGAAUAAUGUGCUUUAAAAGAUUAACACAUGAUUUGUGAUAUAUGCUCAAAUGGAUAUCACCUUUUUGAAGGUAUAGAUUUCAAGGAAUAACAGUUUCAUCCUAAGAAAAUAUUUAGAAAAAUGUUAGGCAGCAAACAAUUUAAGGAUCUUAAAACUAUCUGCUAAUUAGAAGGUAGAAAGAACACUGAUCUGUGUUUUAGUAUUUUUGUAGGGGAAGCUCACAGCUUCCUACAUUAAGAGAAAUUCCAGCACUUAUCAAUAUGGAACAGACACUGAGAAGAUAAGUCGCGUGACUAAAAAAUAUCAAGGCCUUCUCCUAAUUAAAGGACAAAAUACCUAAUCCAGAGUGGCAGUUACUAGAUACAUCUUACACUGUAAAUAGAUAUGGUUAUUUAGCAUAAGACUAUUUAAUAUUACUAUAUAAAUAUACCUGAUCUGCUGGCAUUUUAGGGAUUCACAUUUCUAUGCUAUAGUAACAUUACUCUGCCAUAGUUCAGUAAUUUUCCAGAUGGGCACAAUAUUCAAUGCAGUAUCAAAGAGGAAUAGAAGGCAGUAUAGAAGAAAUGAAAGAUGUAUUAAAUAAUACAUAGAAUGGGUUAGAAAAGAAAUUACAAAAUUACAAGUCAACUGUACUUAUGAAGCCUUUGACAGUUUGAGUUUCAAGGUGUGUCAAGUUGCAAGGCAUAAACGGUACAGGUGAUAAGCUCACGUGGUCCAUGUGAAAGAAAGAUCUAAGUUUUCAGAAAAUUAGUAUUAUAAUUACCAGAUUUAUGUCUUUGUUAUUUCUCAUUCAUCAUUGCACAAACACUGAGAGACCAAAUACAAGAUAUGUGGGUGAAUAAGAAAAAGGCACUUGCUUUCAAAAUGUGCAGACUAGUAUCCUAGAGAUAAAUAUUGUGGCCUGAUAAAAAUAAAAAGCACGAGGUGCUACACUAUUUUAUUCUGAGUGUUAAUCUACGACACAUGUGGUUUCAACUAAUAUUUCUAAAUUACCUCUUUUCUCUGUUUUUCCAAGCACCUUAUCUUUUGUUCAAGAGAAUUUGUCAAGUUCAUUCCUCUUGAUGAUUGAGCACACUGAAGACAAAGAAAAAAAGAAGAUUGAAACAAAAGUCUACAAAAUAAGCAGAAGAAAUACUGUCCUUCACAAACCUCAUGCAUUUGGCUAACUCUCAUGUUGUGAUUUAUAAAAAUAUCUGAUUCUAGCAGUAAAAAUCCUCACACUCUAAGUCCUUCAUAGUAACUUGUUGAUGAAUCAGCUUCAUAUUAUAUUUUAAACUCCUUUAUAUGGAUUAGUUACCCAAAUAAUUCUCUAAUAAAUUAUAAGUGUAUCUAUAUACUGUAAUGGGCAAGCCAGAGAUUAGAAUUUAAAAUUUCAUGAAUUUGGAUUUCAAUCUUUUCCCAAAAAAAUGACAAUUCAGAGUAUGAUGGCUUAUAGAAAUCAGCUCAUCAUGGGGGUACAUAAGUUCAGGUCAUAUACAUUGUCCAUGUCCCGCCCUGAAAAGCCAUUUUUAUAGUUGUGCCCAUGAACAUGUAUGUGAGUGAGAUUCUGAAGAGUAGCCUUAGCAAAAGUCAGAGGAGUGAUAGAACCAUCAAGAAUAAAGAACACAUACAGGGAUUUCCCAGGAUGUCUCAAAUGGGCAGGCUCUGACUAAGACCUGCGGCAGUUCAGCCUUGCUCUGGGACUCAUCCAUCGCCUGUCGAACUGCCCAGAUUGAAUCUCAAAGACCAGAGCCAGCUUCAGCCUUCCUCCCUGGGUUAAGUCCAGGAAAGCUGCCGGAGCACUUUCAGCUGGAAGGUGCCGAGUGCUGAAGGAGCUCUUUAGUGACAGGAAGUGACUGGGGGAGAGAAGGUUUAUACGGCUCCACUUCAGGUGACAAGGAAGUACGAGACUGACUGUAAAUGAUUUGGGGACUGUCCCCACAGAUUCUUCUCGGUGAGUAAACUAUGGAAGGGCACAUUGAGACGCAGCGGAAGGAAGGCAUUCUCUCUCUUACCUUUGCAGAACAGGAACUUCUGCAACUCGGCCCGUCCUCCGUGGUGACCCGCUUUGCACCAGAAGCAUUUCUCUCAAUCAGAGCCCGAAUCUGGCUGUCCAGUUCCAGGCUUUCACACCUGCCCAGGGGGACACGGGAAAGUCACAUUUUACAAAGGCCUUUCUGUUUAAAGAAAACAACCUGUUGGUGGCUCCAGCUGCAAUGUAGGCGGCUUGUAAAGGCGAUGUUAGGAGAAGCUUGAGAGAGAAGAGAUGAGGGUCGGGAAUCCACUCUUGCCCCUCCUUUCUGGAACUCCCCGGUUUUUAAAGUGACUAACUCUGGGAAGUGACAAUCUGCCCUGUCACCCCAGUGAGCAAGCAGAGAGGACAGGGGAAGACACAUGAAUGAUUUGCAGCCCAGAGAAUGGGGGAAUAUUUCUUACAAACACGGACUCUGUCAUUGCCCUCAAGGUGCAUUCUUGGCUGGAUCCCUGUGUAUUUCCUCUUUGCUUUGUUGAUGUGCCGGGUCGCUGUACUGAUGCUGCACACCUGAGCCCAACUUCCUGCGUCUGUGCCCAGGUGGACGGUGCCGGCAGAGCAGCCAACUCGAAGCAGAGAUGAAGUGCAGCUGCGGAUGCUGGUGUGAACCCAGUGAGAGGUGAGCCGUGGACAAAGUUCUGUAAAAAUCACAUUCUUGGCUGAGCGCAGUGGCUCACACCUGUAAUCCUAGCACUCUGGGAGGUCGAGGCGGGAGGAUCACUCGAAGUCA
This is a long non-coding RNA of Lemur catta (Ring-tailed lemur), 4546 nucleotides long. RefSeq lists it as uncharacterized. NCBI's taxonomy places the organism in Eukaryota, Metazoa, Chordata, Mammalia, Primates, Lemuridae. The record is from RefSeq and is a predicted model, not a curated record. The transcript is spliced from 8 exons.